This 252-nucleotide ribosomal RNA is filed under the name uncultured bacterium. RNAcentral's name for it is "partial 16S ribosomal RNA". It matches the Rfam family "Bacterial small subunit ribosomal RNA", at positions 524 to 776 of the family's 1533-position model. The record is from RNAcentral.
UACAGAGGGUGCGAGCGUUAAUCGGAAUUACUGGGCGUAAAGCGUGCGCAGACGGUCACGUAAGUCGGGUGUGAAAGCCCCGGGCUCAACCUGGGAAUUGCAUUCGAGACUGCGUGGCUAGGGUGCGGAAGAGGGAAGCGGAAUUUCCGGUGUAGCGGUGAAAUGCGUAGAUAUCGGAAGGAACACCAGUGGCGAAAGCGGCUUCCUGGUCCAGCACCGACGUCAGGCACGAAAGCUAGGGGAGCAAACAGG